ACGAACGAAGCACUUUAUUAUGAUUUCUUCGGAAUGACGAUUUAGUGACUGAGUGGCGGACGGGUGAGUAACGCGUGGGUAACCUGCCUUAUACGGGGGGAUAACAGUUAGAAAUGACUGCUAAUACCGCAUAAGCGCACAGGAUUGCAUGAUCUGGUGUGAAAAACUCCGGUGGUAUAAGAUGGACCCGCGUCUGAUUAGCUGGUUGGUGAGGUAACGGCCCACCAAGGCGACGAUCAGUAGCCGACCUGAGAGGGUGACCGGCCACAUUGGGACUGAGACACGGCCCAAACUCCUACGGGAGGCAGCAGUGGGGAAUAUUGCACAAUGGGGGAAACCCUGAUGCAGCGACGCCGCGUGAGCGAAGAAGCAUUUCGGUAUGUAAAGCUCUAUCAGCAGGGAAGAAAAAAUGACGGUACCUGACUAAGAAGCCCCGGCUAACUACGUGCCAGCAGCCGCGGUAAUACGUAGGGGGCAAGCGUUAUCCGGAUUUACUGGGUGUAAAGGGAGCGCAGGCGGUGCGGCAAGUCUGAUGUGAAAGCCCGGGGCUCAACCCCGGGACUGCAUUGGAAACUGUCGUACUUGAGUAUCGGAGAGGUAAGUGGAAUUCCUAGUGUAGCGGUGAAAUGCGUAGAUAUUAGGAGGAACACCAGUGGCGAAGGCGGCUUACUGGACGAUAACUGACGCUGAGGCUCGAAAGCGUGGGGAG
This 709-nucleotide ribosomal RNA is filed under the name uncultured bacterium. RNAcentral's name for it is "bacterial SSU rRNA". It matches the Rfam family "Bacterial small subunit ribosomal RNA", at positions 62 to 768 of the family's 1533-position model. The record is from RNAcentral.